Molecule: long non-coding RNA, 3205 nt
Organism: Macaca mulatta (Rhesus monkey)
Lineage: Eukaryota; Metazoa; Chordata; Mammalia; Primates; Cercopithecidae
Source: Ensembl
AUCUUGGUGUAUUGAGAUUCAGGGCUGAACAGAUGAAAUGUUCUGAUAAAAAAGGACCCAAGGACGGGAGAGAUGUUUCUGCUUCUCAUUAAUGUUUCGCUCUUACUUGAAGUACCUUUUUGGUUGCUUUUACUUUUUCAAAGUAAAUUUUCAAAUUAUCAAACUAUCUUUGUCUUGAUAAUUUGAAGACCUAAUUAAUUAUUGUACAUUGAACAUAAUGUGUGCAUUGUGAGCACACAUAAAGGAAUGUUAAGGAGAAUUCUAUGUUGUCUAGGCACUGAUACGUAUAGAAGGAAACUGACUUAACCAGGGCCCCCAGGAUCACCUUGGGUCUAGAAGCCAUCACUGCUCCUGGAACUUUGCCCCCGCCUGGCUGAACAGGGUAAUGCCCUGAAGACACACACUGUCCGAAUCCCUACUGAAUGAUGUUGAAAGUGAGAAUUCAGUCAUGGAAUCUGCCUUCCUUGAACACCAAAUGAAGUCUGAAAUGGGAACUGACUUUCCGAGAGCCUAACUCAUGGAGAAUACAGAGGCACAAUCCUUCUAGGUAUUAGUAUUAGUUCAGUGGGGAUAAGGAUAUUUGGAAAGACCCUGAAGGACCACUCAGGGCCGGCUGGUAUAGAUGAGCUAGAUAGUACAUAUUAGUCAGUAUUUGAAUGCAUUUAGCAAGGAGACCAGUAAGAAUGACAAAAAAUAUUAAAAAUGCCACACUGACUGCUUCCUGAUGGCCACUGGCACCACCCUCACCAUUGCCGAGGAUACUGUACGCUAAUCAUGAAGAAGCACUGCCUACUGUCAAGGAGAAGAAGGGGCAUGGUGCUGGGUACCUACAGGCACCAGAACAUUCCUGAGGACUCACACCACAGGGAAAGAAAACCUGGAAAUGUCAGAGCUGAUGAAGAGCAAUUAGGAAUGAAAAUACAAUCCAUUGAAUCAGAUAAGAAACAAACUCAGCAGGAUGCUUCUUGUUGCUGUUAUUCCAUUCAUAAGAAAAUGUCAUCCACUCAAAAUCAUUUGAUUUUCUGCAGCAAAUUCCUUGAUACAAAAAAGAUCCUGGGGUUUAUAUAGGGCAUUACCACAUUUAGUGAAAAAUUCACCCAUUUUUUUCCGCCAUAAAUGUGUAAUUUUUAGAUCAAUUUAGAUCAAGGAAGCUAUUCUCUGAUAUAAUAAAGAGAAAAGAAUCUUGAACCUGGUUAAGAGUGGUCUCAAGCCAAAACAGAUAAUUUCUACAGAACGCAAUAAAUACUCUUUGGUUCUGUGUGGUGAUAUUGCCUCCCAGACAUUUUAAGGCUUAACACCUAAAGAAUGGGUUGAUUUUAAAUUAAUAAAUGAAUAGAAAAGGAAUAAAAUCUUCUGUCUUUGUUAAUGUCAGACUUUCCUAACCUUUUUCUAAUCAUCUUAUCAAUAUUUUGUACUUUUUUCCUGUUCCUUUUAAUUCUUUUGGCAUUUACUCAAGGUCUGUCUUUUGGCCUUUUGUUGCUCUGUGUUCUCUCUCUAGGCCUUCUCAACCACUCUCAUCACUUCAACCAUCUUGAAUGUUUUGGAAACCUGUAUUGGGUCCCAACAUUUUCUUGUGGUCCAAAGUGAUAACAACAACAGGCUGAGCAUGGUGGCUCACACCUGUAAUCCCAGCAGUUUGGGAGGCCUAGGUGGGUGGAUCACCUGAGGUCGGGAGUUUGAGAGCAGCCUGGCCAAUGUGGCAAAACCCCAUCUCUACUAAAAAUAAAAAAAUUAGCCAAAUAUGAUGGCAUGCACCUGUAGUCCCACCUACUUGGGAGGCUGAGGCAGGAGGAUUGCUUGAACCUGGAAGGCAGAGGUUGCAGUGAGCUGAGAUCAUGCCACUGCACUCCAGCUGGGGCAACAGAAUAAGACUCCAUCUCAAACAAGACAAAACAAAACAAAACAAAACAAAAAAACUCACUAAGUGAUAACAACAAUAAUGGCAACAUUCAUUGUAUACUUACUAUGUGCUGGGCACUGGGUUAACAAGUGAACAUGCAUAAUCUCAUUUAAUUCUUACAGCCACCUGUAAGAUAGAUGCCAUUAUUGUCUUCGUUUUGCAGGAAAAAAAACUAAAGUUGAGUGAUAUCACACACUUCCCCUAGAGUCAUACAGAUAAUAAACAACUAAACUGGGUUUUAAACCCGGACAGUUUCACUCUAAAGUGAGUGUUUUGUUUUCAGCCACCUGCUAAGCAUCUGCCCUUGAAUCUCCUAUAGGCCUCUUAAAGCCAAUCUACAUAAAACACAUUUCCAAUUAUUCCUGCUUCCCUUUUGGCAAUUAAUUCAUGUGUUCCACAAAUAAGAAUUAAUCAAGCAUCAUGAAGAGUCAGAUGGAAGCCUAUGCACUGAGGAUGAAAUGUUGAACAAAAUAGUAGUGAUUCCUGCAUGUAUAGAGUUUACUUUUUAGAGAGGGGAGACUCUCAUUAAUUACAUUAUUUUGCAAACAGAUAAUUAUUCCAAGCUGGAAUAAGUGCUAAGAUGGGAAAGUAAAAUAUGCUGUGGGAGCAUCUAAUAGGAGACCUGCUUUCUUUGAGGGGAAGAUAGGGAAGGGGGAAUGUGAGAAGGGCUUCCCCUAUAAAUUGCUAUUUAAGUUGAGAUCAAAAAGAUGAGUAGUAGUUAACUAGGCAAGGGAUGACUUCCAGGCAGAGAUUCCAAUACCUACAAAGGCCCUGAGAUGAGAGGGAGCUUAGCAUAUUAGAGAGACUGAGAAAAAAAUUGGUAUAUCUGGGACAGUGGUCAAAGUUACAAGGGUAGCAAGGAUAAGACCAUGUAGGCCCUCCUAAGAUGUGCUAAAUAUUUUCCUCUUGUUCUAAGACCACUGAAAAGUCCUUAGGAGUGUUUAAUUAUUGUAGUAAAGGAAUAAAAUCUAUGUCUUGAAGAUGCCAUUCUGGCUGCUGUUGGGAGGCUGGUUUGGAGGGGGAAGAGUAGAUUCAGGGAAACCAGUGAGGAGGAUAUUUCAUAAUCUCUCUAAGUGAGAGAUUAUGGUCUUAUCUCUCAUUAUUUCUGUUUAAAGAAGGAUUGUAGUCUUGGAGAUAGAGAUGAAAGACAUUCAAAUAUGCCUUUCCAUUCAAAUCAGAAAUCUUGGACUUAUCUCAACUUCAUCCUUUUUCCUACUCAUUUUAUCCAAUUAGACUCCUGUUGAUUUUACCUCAACAUGUCUUGUGUCUUUUCCCCUUUCUUCAUUUUUAUGGCUACUACCUGAG